GAGUGGCAGACGGGUGAGUAACGCGUGGGAACAUACCCUCCGGUCCGGAAUAGCUCAGGGAAACUUGGAUUAAUACCGGAUACGGCUGAGAGGCGAAAGAUUUAUCGCCGGAGGAUUGGCCCGCGUUCGAUUAGCUUGUUGGUGAGGUAAUGGCUCACCAAGGCGAUGAUCGAUAGCUGGUCUGAGAGGAUGAUCAGCCACAUUGGGACUGAGACACGGCCCAAACUCCUACGGGAGGCAGCAGUGGGGAAUAUUGGACAAUGGGCGCAAGCCUGAUCCAGCCAUGCCGCGUGAGUGAUGACGGCCUUAGGGUUGUAAAGCUCUUUCGCUCGGGACGAUAAUGACGGUACCGAGAUAAGAAGCCCCGGCUAACUUCGUGCCAGCAGCCGCGGUAAUACGAAGGGGGCUAGCGUUGUUCGGAAUUACUGGGCGUAAAGCGCGUGUAGGCGGGUCUUUAAGUCAGGGGUGAAAUGCCAAGGCUCAACCUUGGAACUGCCUUUGAUACUG
RNAcentral lists this ribosomal RNA (507 nucleotides) under uncultured bacterium. Its description in RNAcentral is "bacterial SSU rRNA". It matches the Rfam family "Bacterial small subunit ribosomal RNA", at positions 93 to 635 of the family's 1533-position model. The record is from RNAcentral.